AGAGUUUGAUCCUGGCUCAGGACGAACGCUGGCGGCAUGCCUAACACAUGCAAGUCGAACGGAACUUAUUGAAUGAAGUUUUCGGAUGGAUUUUAGUAAGUUUAGUGGCGGACGGGUGAGUAACGCGUGAGCAACCUGCCUUUCAGAGGGGGACAACAGUUGGAAACGACUGCUAAUACCGCAUAAUGUAUCGAGAAGGCAUCUUCUUGAUACCAAAGAUUAUAUCGCUGAAAGAUGGGCUCGCGUACGAUUAGAUAGUUGGUGAGGUAACGGCUCACCAAGUCGACGAUCGUUAGCCGGACUGAGAGGUUGAACGGCCACAUUGGGACUGAGACACGGCCCAGACUCCUACGGGAGGCAGCAGUGAGGAAUAUUGGGCAAUGGGCGCAAGCCUGACCCAGCAAUGCCGCGUGAAGGAAGACGGUUUUCGGAUUGUAAACUUCUUUUAAGAGGGACGAUAAUGACGGUACCUCUUGAAUAAGCCACGGCUAACUACGUGCCAGCAGCCGCGGUAAUACGUAGGUGGCAAGCGUUGUCCGGAUUUACUGGGCGUAAAGGGUGCGUAGGCGGUCUUUCAAGUCAGGAGUGAAAGGCUACGGCUCAACCGUAGUAAGCUCUUGAAACUGUAAGACUUGAGUGCAGGAGAGGAGAGUGGAAUUCCUAGUGUAGCGGUGAAAUGCGUAGAUAUUAGGAGGAACACCAGUGGCGAAGGCGGCCUGCUGGGCUCUAACUGACGCUGAGGCUCGAAAGUGUGGGGAGCAAACAGGAUUAGAUACCCUGGUAGUCCACACUGUAAACGAUGAUUGCUAGGGGUGGGGGGUCUGACCCCCUCCGUGGCGGAACUAACGCAAUAA
Molecule: ribosomal RNA, 854 nt
Filed under: uncultured bacterium
Lineage: Bacteria
Description: bacterial SSU rRNA
Rfam family: Bacterial small subunit ribosomal RNA
Source: RNAcentral